AACGAACGCUGGCGGCAUGCCUAACACAUGCAAGUCGAACGAGACCUUCGGGUCUAGUGGCGCACGGGUGCGUAACGCGUGGGAACCUGCCCUUAGGUUCGGAAUAACUCCCCGAAAGGGGUGCUAAUACCGGAUAAUGUCUUCGGACCAAAGAUUUAUCGCGUUUGGAUGGGCCCGCGUUGGAUUAGCUAGUUGGUAGGGUAAAAGCCUACCAAGGCGACGAUCCAUAGCUGGUCUGAGAGGAUGAUCAGCCACACUGGGACUGAGACACGGCCCAGACUCCUACGGGAGGCAGCAGUGUGGAAUAUUGGACAAUGGGCGAAAGCCUGAUCCAGCAAUGCCGCGUGAGUGAUGAAGGCCUUAGGGUUGUAAAGCUCUUUUACCCGGGAUGAUAAUGACAGUACCGGGAGAAUAAGCACCGGCUAACUCCGUG
Molecule: ribosomal RNA, 433 nt
Filed under: uncultured bacterium
Lineage: Bacteria
Description: partial 16S ribosomal RNA
Rfam family: Bacterial small subunit ribosomal RNA
Source: RNAcentral